AUAAAAACAAUGAAGCAGAAAAAGAUUUUUUAUUUUAUUGCAGAGAGUCGGCGGCAGGUGCAAGCCGAUAUAAAAUAACAAAUGCAUAACUCACUGCGGAGUUGCCGCGCUGAACAGAAAUUUAUAGGUGCGGUCGGCUGACCUCGUUAUCGGUUAAGGCAUUGAUAGAUGCUAAAGGGCAGUGUUAACCUACUGCCGAAAUAGGGUGGUACCGCGUGUUAUUACGCCCCUAUA
RNAcentral lists this non-coding RNA (234 nucleotides) under Clostridiales bacterium. RNAcentral describes it as "T-box sequence". It matches the Rfam family "T-box leader". Rfam says of the family: Uncharged tRNA acts as the effector for transcription antitermination of genes in the T-box leader family. T-boxes are found upstream of many aminoacyl-tRNA synthetase genes and some amino acid biosynthetic genes usually in Gram-positive bacteria. The anticodon of a specific tRNA base pairs to a specifier sequence within the T-box motif, and the NCCA acceptor tail of the tRNA base pairs to a conserved bulge in the T-box antiterminator hairpin. Lineage: Bacteria; Bacillati; Bacillota; Clostridia; Eubacteriales. The record is from RNAcentral.